This 632-nucleotide ribosomal RNA is filed under the name Alternaria macrospora. RNAcentral's name for it is "eukaryotic LSU rRNA". It matches the Rfam family "Eukaryotic large subunit ribosomal RNA", at positions 1 to 643 of the family's 3401-position model. The record is from RNAcentral. Lineage: Eukaryota; Fungi; Ascomycota; Dothideomycetes; Pleosporales; Pleosporaceae. RNAcentral also lists the same sequence under 2 other names.
UUUUGACCUCGGAUCAGGUAGGGAUACCCGCUGAACUUAAGCAUAUCAAUAAGCGGAGGAAAAGAAACCAACAGGGAUUGCCCUAGUAACGGCGAGUGAAGCGGCAACAGCUCAAAUUUGAAAUCUGGCUCUUUUAGAGUCCGAGUUGUAAUUUGCAGAGGGCGCUUUGGCUUUGGCAGCGGUCCAAGUUCCUUGGAACAGGACGUCACAGAGGGUGAGAAUCCCGUACGUGGUCGCUGGCUAUUGCCGUGUAAAGCCCCUUCGACGAGUCGAGUUGUUUGGGAAUGCAGCUCUAAAUGGGAGGUACAUUUCUUCUAAAGCUAAAUAUUGGCCAGAGACCGAUAGCGCACAAGUAGAGUGAUCGAAAGAUGAAAAGCACUUUGGAAAGAGAGUCAAACAGCACGUGAAAUUGUUGAAAGGGAAGCGCUUGCAGCCAGACUUGCUUGCAGUUGCUCAUCCGGGCUUUUUUGCCCGGUGCACUCUUCUGUAGGCAGGCCAGCAUCAGUUUGGGCGGUAGGAUAAAGGUCUCUGUCACGUACCUCCUUUCGGGGAGGCCUUAUAGGGGAGGCGACAUACUACCAGCCUGGACUGAGGUCCGCGCAUCUGCUAGGAUGCUGGCGUAAUGGCUGUAA